Molecule: ribosomal RNA, 816 nt
Filed under: uncultured bacterium
Lineage: Bacteria
Description: bacterial SSU rRNA
Rfam family: Bacterial small subunit ribosomal RNA
Source: RNAcentral
GUCGAACGGACUCAUAUUGAAACCUAGUGAUUUAUGAGUUAGUGGCGGACGGGUGAGUAACGCGUGGAUAACCUGCCGUAUACCGGGGGAUAACACUUGGAAAUAGGUGCUAAUACCGCAUAAGCGCACGGCUCCGCAUGGGGCAGUGUGAAAAACUCCGGUGGUAUACGAUGGAUCCGCGUCUGAUUAGCUAGUUGGCGGGGUAACGGCCCACCAAGGCAGCGAUCAGUAGCCGGCCUGAGAGGGUGGACGGCCACAUUGGGACUGAGACACGGCCCAAACUCCUACGGGAGGCAGCAGUGGGGAAUAUUGCACAAUGGGGGAAACCCUGAUGCAGCGACGCCGCGUGAGUGAAGAAGUAUCUCGGUACGUAAAGCUCUAUCAGCAGGGAAGAAAAUGACGGUACCUGACUAAGAAGCCCCGGCUAACUACGUGCCAGCAGCCGCGGUAAUACGUAGGGGGCAAGCGUUAUCCGGAUUUACUGGGUGUAAAGGGAGCGUAGACGGCAGCACAAGUCUGGAGUGAAAUCCCGGGGCUUAACCCCGGAACUGCUUUGGAAACUGUGCGGCUGGAGUGCAGGAGGGGUAAGCGGAAUUCCUAGUGUAGCGGUGAAAUGCGUAGAUAUUAGGAGGAACACCGGUGGCGAAGGCGGCUUACUGGACUGUAACUGACGUUGAGGCUCGAAAGCGUGGGGAGCAAACAGGAUUAGAUACCCUGGUAGUCCACGCCGUAAACGAUGAUUACUAGGUGUCGGGGGAUCAAGGUCCUCCGGUGCCGGCGCANACGCAUUAAGUAAUCCACCUGGGGAGNACGUUC